RNAcentral lists this ribosomal RNA (526 nucleotides) under uncultured eukaryote. RNAcentral's name for it is "SSU rRNA". It matches the Rfam family "Eukaryotic small subunit ribosomal RNA", at positions 75 to 604 of the family's 1831-position model. The record is from RNAcentral.
UAUACAGCGAAACUGCGAAUGGCUCAUUAUAUAAGUUAUCGUUUAUUUGAUAGUGCCUUACUACUUGGAUAACCGUGGUAAUUCUAGAGCUAAUACAUGCUAAAAACCCCGACUUCGGAAGGGGUGUAUUUAUUAGAUACAAAACCAAUGCCCUUCGGGGCUCUUUGGUGAUUCAUGAUAACUAUACGAAUCGCACGGCCUUGCGCCGGCGAUGGUUCAUUCAAAUUUCUUCCCUAUCAACUUUCGAUGUUUGGGUAUUGGCCAAACAUGGUUGCAACGGGUAACGGAGGGUUAGGGCUCGACCCCGGAGAAGGAGCCUGAGAAACGGCUACUACAUCCAAGGAAGGCAGCAGGCGCGCAAAUUACCCAAUCCCGACUCGGGGAGGUAGUGACAAUAAAUACUGAUACAGGGCCCUUUCGAGCCUUGUAAUUGGAAUGAGUACAAUUUAAAUCCCUUAACGAGGAACAAUUGGAGGGCAAGUCUGGUGCCAGCAGCCGCGGUAAUUCCAGCUCCAAUAGCGUAUAU